UACGAAGGGGGCGAGCGUUGUUCGGAAUCACUGGGCGUAAAGGGCGCGCAGGCGGUCCAUCAAGUCAGGCGUGAAAGCCCCGGGCUCAACCCGGGAAUUGCGCUUGAGACUGGUGGACUUGAGGACGGGAGAGGAGAGUGGAAUUCCCAGUGUAGAGGUGAAAUUCGUAGAUAUUGGGAAGAACACCAAUGGCGAAGGCAGCUCUCUGGACCGUUACUGACGCUGAGGCGCGAAAGCGUGGGGAGCAAAC
RNAcentral lists this ribosomal RNA (250 nucleotides) under uncultured bacterium. RNAcentral's name for it is "partial 16S ribosomal RNA". It matches the Rfam family "Bacterial small subunit ribosomal RNA", at positions 524 to 773 of the family's 1533-position model. The record is from RNAcentral.